GCCUAAAGCGUCCGUAGCCGGCUCAGUAAGUUUUCGGUUAAAUCUGUACGCUCAACGUACAGGCUGCCGGGAAUACUGCAGAGCUAGGGAGUGGGAGAGGUAGACGGUACUCGGGAGGAAGUGGUAAAAUGCUUUGAUCUUUCGAUGACCACCUGUGGCGAAGGCGGUCUACCAGAACACGUCCGACGGUGAGGGAUGAAAGCUGGGGGAGCAAACAGGAUUAGAUACCCGGGUAGUCCCAGCUGUAAACUAUGCAAACUCAGUGAUGCAUUGGCUUGUGGCCAGUGCAGUGCCGCAGGGAAGCCGUUAAGUUUGCCGCCUGGGAAGUACGUACGCAAGUAUGAAACUUAAAGGAAUUGGCGGGGGAGCACCACAAGGGGUGAAGCCUGCGGUUCAAUUGGAGUCAACGCCAGAAAUCUUACCCGGAGAGACAGCAGAAUGAAGGUCAAGCUGAAGACUUUACCAGACAAGCUGAGAGGUGGUGCAUGGCCGUCGCCAGCUCGUGCCGUGAGAUGUCCUGUUAAGUCAGGUAACGAGCGAGACCCUUGCCUCUAGUUGCUACCAUUGCUCUCUGGAGCAGUGGGGCGAAUUAGCGGGACCGCCGCAGUUAAUGCGGAGGAAGGAAAGGGCUACGGCAGGUCAGUAUGCCCCGAA
RNAcentral lists this ribosomal RNA (654 nucleotides) under uncultured archaeon. RNAcentral's name for it is "bacterial SSU rRNA". It matches the Rfam family "Archaeal small subunit ribosomal RNA", at positions 508 to 1160 of the family's 1478-position model. The record is from RNAcentral.